Molecule: ribosomal RNA, 496 nt
Filed under: uncultured bacterium
Lineage: Bacteria
Description: partial 16S ribosomal RNA
Rfam family: Bacterial small subunit ribosomal RNA
Source: RNAcentral
GAUGAACGCUGGCGGCGUGCCUAAUACAUGCAAGUCGAGCGAACAGACGAGGAGCUUGCUCCUCUGACGUUAGCGGCGGACGGGUGAGUAACACGUGGAUAACCUACCUAUAAGACUGGGAUAACUUCGGGAAACCGGAGCUAAUACCGGAUAAUAUAUUGAACCGCAUGGUUCAAUAGUGAAAGACGGUUUUGCUGUCACUUAUAGAUGGAUCCGCGCCGCAUUAGCUAGUUGGUAAGGUAACGGCUUACCAAGGCAACGAUGCGUAGCCGACCUGAGAGGGUGAUCGGCCACACUGGAACUGAGACACGGUCCAGACUCCUACGGGAGGCAGCAGUAGGGAAUCUUCCGCAAGGGGCGAAAGCCUGACGGAGCAACGCCGCGUGAGUGAUGAAGGUCUUCGGAUCGUAAAACUCUGUUAUUAGGGAGAACAAAUGUGUAAGUAACUAUGCACGUCUUGACGGUACCUAAUCAGAAAGCCACGGCUAACUACGUG